RNAcentral lists this long non-coding RNA (908 nucleotides) under Lynx pardinus (Iberian lynx). Lineage: Eukaryota; Metazoa; Chordata; Mammalia; Carnivora; Felidae. The record is from RNAcentral.
CCCAAGGCCACCCUGUCCCCAACUGCCAGGUCGGGAGCUGGCGUGCGCUCGGUGCCUUGGGUUCGCCCAGAACACCCACCUGGAGACGCUGACCGCUCAGGUGAGCAAAAUGCCUGCUCAGGAACCGGUCCCUUCUCCCUCCCCGCGUUCAUGGCUGCUUCCCCCUGGGACCUCGCUCCAGAUGCAGACGGGUGUGUCCAGGCAGGUGGCUCCUGAACACCCCUGAGGACUUUCUGCAACAUUCUGGAAGCCCUUGCCAAGUGGCCACGUCUUCCAGAACGCCCUGUGCGCUUCCUGCCUCCACGCUGGGCUCCUGCUAAGUUCUCACGUAGGUUUGAAGCCACGUCCGUACCUCUGCGACAGUCGGGGUCAGCAAAUGUGCUGGGUCACCUGGCCAGGUCCGCUGGUGGCCGCUCGCCCUGUGGACGGAGGCAGAGAAAGUCAUCUGCCACCCAGAGAGCAAAGCAGGGCACGGUGCCCUUUCACUGGGGCUGAUACCUGAGCCAGUGGGGGGUGAGCGCUGAGCGAGGGCGCCGGUGGGGCUCAUCCUGGGACUGGCCCGUGGUGAGCACGGGACACACGUUCGCUUGGCUUCUCAUUGAGGAAAACCACAGGUGAGGGCUGCCUCCCUACCCCACUGCCCAUCUUAGGCUGCGCUCCUUGUCAGAGCCUUUGCAUUUACUCCUUAGAACCUUCUGGGAGGGCUGGAAGGAGCACAUUCUUAUUUUGCAGAUAGAGAAGAAAUUCAGGAAGGGGCGUCAGGUGGCCGGCAGUCCCGGAGGCCCCCGAGCCUUCUCCCUGACCAGGAACCUGCGGGGGGACGGCACGCUUUCCGGGGUGAGUACGCGCUGGGCCCCCCAGGACGCGCUCUCAGAGACCUCGGCUCCUGCCGCCGGGCCCUCUGAGCU